This 446-nucleotide ribosomal RNA is filed under the name uncultured Leptolinea sp. RNAcentral's name for it is "bacterial SSU rRNA". It matches the Rfam family "Bacterial small subunit ribosomal RNA", at positions 923 to 1382 of the family's 1533-position model. The record is from RNAcentral. Lineage: Bacteria; Bacillati; Chloroflexota; Anaerolineae; Anaerolineales; Anaerolineaceae.
GCACAAGCAGCGGAGCGUGUGGUUUAAUUCGAGGCUACACGAAGAACCUUACCAGGGUUUGACAUGCAAGUGGUAGGAAUCCGAAAGGUGACCGACCCUUCGGGGAGCUUGCACAGGUGCUGCAUGGCUGUCGUCAGCUCGUGUCGUGAGAUGUUCGGUUAAGUCCGCUAACGAGCGCAACCCUCGUCGUGUGUUAUACGUGUCACACGAUACUGCCGGUAUCAAGCCGGAGGAAGGUGGGGAUGAUGUCAAGUCAGCAUGGCCUUUAUAUCCUGGGCUACACACACGCUACAAUGGCAGAUACAAUAGGUUGCGAAACCGCGAGGUGGAGCCAAUCCUCAAAGUCCGUCUCAGUUCAGAUUGUAGGCUGCAACUCGCCUGCAUGAAGUUGGAGUUGCUAGUAAACGCAGGUCAGCUAUACUGCGUUGAAUACGUUCCCGGGGUUU